Molecule: ribosomal RNA, 585 nt
Filed under: uncultured bacterium
Lineage: Bacteria
Description: bacterial SSU rRNA
Rfam family: Bacterial small subunit ribosomal RNA
Source: RNAcentral
ACGGGUGAGUAAUACAUCGGAACGUGUCCUGGAGUGGGGGAUAGCCCGGCGAAAGCCGGAUUAAUACCGCAUACGCUCUGUGGAGGAAAGCGGGGGAUCUUCGGACCUCGCGCUCAAGGGGCGGCCGAUGGCAGAUUAGCUAGUUGGUGGGGUAAAGGCCUACCAAGGCGACGAUCUGUAGCUGGUCUGAGAGGACGACCAGCCACACUGGGACUGAGACACGGCCCAGACUCCUACGGGAGGCAGCAGUGGGGAAUUUUGGACAAUGGGGGCAACCCUGAUCCAGCAAUGCCGCGUGUGUGAAGAAGGCCUUCGGGUUGUAAAGCACUUUUGUCCGGAAAGAAAACCGCUUCUCUAAUACAGGGGCGGGAUGACGGUACCGGAAGAAUAAGCACCGGCUAACUACGUGCCAGCAGCCGCGGUAAUACGUAGGGUGCAAGCGUUAAUCGGAAUUACUGGGCGUAAAGCGUGCGCAGGCGGUUCGCUAAGACCGAUGUGAAAUCCCCGGGCUUAACCUGGGAACUGCAUUGGUGACUGGCGGGCUAGAGUAUGGCAGAGGGGGGUAGAAUUCCACGUGUAGCAGUG